Molecule: long non-coding RNA, 1910 nt
Filed under: Homo sapiens (human)
Lineage: Eukaryota; Metazoa; Chordata; Mammalia; Primates; Hominidae
Description: DPPA2 upstream binding RNA
Source: RNAcentral
ACCCACGCGGCGCAGCUCCCAAAGUUGCAGACAGCCCGGCGAACCGCGCAAUGCGCUUCUUCUGCCUGCAGCAGAGAAAAGGAAAGAAAACUCCGCAGGGGCUCCGUUGGCUUCUCCACGAGUGACAACCAUGUUUUCCCAGAUAGAAGACCGGAGCCCUGCUCCUUUGCGAUCCGCCGAGGGCUGCAGAGAGCAUCCUCAUCCAUUUGGGCACCCCUGCCCAGGAAGAGCCCGGCCAUCCCUUUCCGGACUGGAUCCUUAAGAGGUGAAUUUUCUUCCGUGGAUUCCGAUUUGCUCCGUCUGACCAGCCUAGGCAAUCCAGCAUCGCGUGGUACCAGUGCCGCUGGGCACACUGGCUUCACGCCGGCUCCGCCUCACCAGCAAGCGCAUUCCCAGAGGAGAAAAUGAGACACUGAGUGGGACUCAGGGAUUGCUCCAGGCCACACAGUCAGCAGGAGGCAAAGCCCAGAUUCAAAUGCAGAUUACUCAGCUCCACAAUCCACAUCCUCACAGGAGGCUGCACUCCUUGCCCAAGCGUCAGACAGGAGCAAAGAGAAAGAAGGCAACCAGCUGGCUACUUUCUUCCCUUCUUGGAUGCCUCCAACAGGAUAAAACACUAACUCAGAGAAGAAAUUUAACUGCAAAUUUGGUUAAUGACCAUGGAUUCCUAAUGAGAAGAAAAGCUAGACACUGAGAGUUUAGAAUAAACUCAAGAAUCUUAAAAAUUUUCCCAUGGAACUGCCUUUGCACCUCUAUAAAAAAUUAAUUGACCAUAUGGUAAGUAACAUGUGAGUUUACAUUGAGGAUAGAUGAGCCUUUGGACAAAAUUAGAGUGAUUUAAUUUUACAAUAAAAACAACUCUAUGUCUUUUUCUUGGUUCUGUCAUCAUGUAAAAAAUAAUGCUUGCAAAAUUUUUUAUUAACACAACACUUGGGCUUAAUUUCCAAUAAUUUCUAUUUUUAAAAUGUCUUCCAUUAGUGUCUUGGAUCUUGGAAGAUAUAAUUCUGUCUGGAAAAUUUUUAAGACAAGAUAAAAAAUAUAUAUAUAUACACACACACAUACAUACAUAUAUAUGUGUAUAUAUAAAUAAUUUAAAUGAAAUUGUCUUGACACAUGUUUUUCAAAGAGUAUAAUCUUGUGAACUUUUCUAAUACUACAAAUCACAGGAUUUAAUCUUCUGACUUAAAUUGUACUUUCCAGAUAUUUAGUCACUCUAAGAUGUUAAACUAAUGUUAAAUUGUUUUAUUUAAUGAAUAAUCUUUGGAUAUAUAAUUUUUCUAUAAGAAAAAACAGAAAACUUUGAUUAUUAGAUAUAAUUUUAAAUUUCUUUUACCUUUAUACAUAAAAUCACUACAGAUUAAGGAGAUGUACAAAUGUCCUUAAAUUAUAUUAAAUGCACUUACUUUGCCAUCUUAAAAUUUAUUUAAGUAAAAUAACAUAUAUGCUCAUAAAAAUAGUUUUAUUGAUCUUGGUUACCUAUCUUCUAGUUUUCUCUUGUGUCUGGAAAAAUAAAAGUUGGUUAAUUUUGUUAAAGGUGGUAAUUAAUAAAAUCGACUAUGCAGACAUUUAUACAUUUACUUAUACAUAAAAAUAUAUUUAUGUACUUUAAUCUCUAUAUUACUCUUCUAAUUCAAUUUUUAAAGUAAAGUUCCAUUUUUCUGUAUGGUUCUAUGAGUGUAACACAUGCACAGAUUCUUGUAAGCUUCAUCACAAAUAGGUUAUAGAACAAUUCCACACCUUCCCCAAAAUGUCUCUUUUCCUGCUCAGUAGAUAGUCAAACUCUCCCCUCAGGCCUAAGCCUUGCAACCACUGAUCUUCUUUCCCUCUAUUUUUGCCGUUUUUAGAAUGUCAUACAUAUUUAGCCUUUUAAGAUUUACUUCUUUAACUUAGUAAAUGCAUUUGAGAUUCAA